RNAcentral lists this ribosomal RNA (467 nucleotides) under uncultured bacterium. Its description in RNAcentral is "partial 16S ribosomal RNA". It matches the Rfam family "Bacterial small subunit ribosomal RNA", at positions 28 to 506 of the family's 1533-position model. The record is from RNAcentral.
GACGAACGCUGGCGGCGUGCUUAACACAUGCAAGUCGAACGGAAAGGCCCUGCUUUUGUGGGGUGCUCGAGUGGCGAACGGGUGAGUAACACGUGAGUAACCUGCCCUUGACUUUGGGAUAACUUCAGGAAACUGGGGCUAAUACCGGAUAGGAGCUCCUGCUGCAUGGUGGGGGUUGGAAAGUUUCGGCGGUUGGGGAUGGACUCGCGGCUUAUCAGCUUGUUGGUGGGGUAGUGGCUUACCAAGGCUUUGACGGGUAGCCGGCCUGGGAGGGUGACCGGCCACAUUGGGACUGGGAUACGGCCCAGACGCCUACGGGAGGCAGGAGUGGGGAAUAGUGCACAAUGGGCGGAAGCCUGAUGCAGCGACGCCGCGUGCGGGAUGACGGCCUUCGGGUUGUAAACCGCUUUCGCCUGUGACGAAGCGUGAGUGAGGGUAAUGGGGAAAGAAACACCGGCAAACUACGU